CCUCCCUCUCUCUCGUUUCCUCUCCCGCAUACCCCUCCGCCUCCGCCGCCAGGAGCGUCCCCACACCAACGUCGUCGUCUCGAGGGGGGAGUGGGUGGGAGGAGAAGACGGCGGCGGCGCACACGGGGAAAAGAGGAAGAGCGCCGGCCUUGGUCCACGCGACGACGGCCGUGAACUGCGCCUCCACCAGUGUAUGCGCGACGGUGCGCGCUCUCUCCUAGGUCGCCCCUCCACUCUUUCUGCGCCUCCUUUUCAUCUCUCACACGCAGGCCCCUCUCUCGUUUGGCUUCACAUUCCCUGCUAGGGUUGCCGCCGCCACUGCUGCCGCCAUCGCUCCUCCGGCGCUGGCCAUGCUCCCUCGUAGCAAAGUGCGGCGCUGCUUCUCCACACAGCCGUGUCGGCAAGGCGGCGGCAAGACCGAGAAGGUGGGCGGCGCUGCGAGCUCUCGUCCCGUGGAAGCCAUGGGAGGACGAGGUCGAUGCGGUCGUCGGCGCGUCCUCCGCUGCAAGAGGCCAUGAGCGAAACGAAGGAGGCGUCGUCAGCUGCGUGCCCGACCUCGCCACGGACGCCAGCGAGGCCAACCUCCCCUUCACCUCUGACCGGCAGGUUGCUGCCAUGGAACCAUGUUGACCUGAGCUAUGUGCCACCAUGGUAUCCUGCUCUUUUGUUUGUUUGAUCCAAUUGGUAUCGGUUCGAGUGUGUGAUGGAAUGGAGAUGAAAGAUCGUGACGACACUGACGGUGCACCGCGUCCACAGGUCAGUGGUGCCGCCUCUGGUUUCUUCCCCAUCAAUCCCAGACAUCGCUUGUACGCUUGCAUAAGUAGUUUGCCGCUCUCAAUUCUCACUCUAACUCUCUUGUCACUCUUCUCUCUGUUUUCCUAUGAGGUGAGGAGAUUAGGCACAGGCUUGUUGUUGCUUUGCUGUACGAAAUUGGAACCAAUGAUGAAAAGAGAAGCAUGUUUUCUGUCGGAUAUUCAAAAUGGAUCCCGGCAGCAUAUGGUCCUUCAUGUAAAAGAUAAUUUUGUGAAUGCCAAGAAGUAAAAAAACAUUUGUAUGUUUGUGUCCUUUGGGACCCGUACAGACAAAUGGGAAGCUGCACCCAUUACCACAUAAAUGUAAAUUUUACAUGCCGGUCGAUUUGGGAAUCAGUUGUCCCAAUAAGAUGUGCUUUUACUCAUGUAGUUUACACUGAAUAAGAAGCUUCAGGUAACAUUGCUAUC
This is a long non-coding RNA of Triticum dicoccoides, 1220 nucleotides long. RefSeq lists it as uncharacterized. The record is from RefSeq and is a predicted model, not a curated record. Lineage: Eukaryota; Viridiplantae; Streptophyta; Magnoliopsida; Poales; Poaceae. The transcript is spliced from 2 exons.